CUCUCCGUCCAUCCUUCGUCUCCUUCUGUUCCCGCUCUCCUCGCUCCUUUCCUGCCUUGGCACUUCUGUUUUCUCCUCUCCUUAGCGCUCCUCCAUUUUUCAUCUACUUCUUUUUCCGCCCCAGGUUGUCCACUUUUUUUUUGUUUUUUGAGACGGUGUCUUGCUCUUUCACCCAGGCCAGAGUGCAGUGGGGCGAUCUUGGCUCACUGCAAGCUCCGCCUCCCGGGUUCACACCAUUCUCCUGCCUCAGCCUCCCGAGUAGCUGGGACUACAGGCGCCCGCCACCGCGCCCGGCUCAUUUUUUGUAUUUUUAGUAGAGACGGGGUUUCACCGUGUUAGCCAGGAUGGUCUCCAUCUCCUGACCUCGUGAUCCGCCCACCUCCGCCUCCCAAAGUGCUGGGAUGGCAGGCGUGAGCCACCGCGCCCGGCUGGGUUGUCCACUUUUAUCUCCUCUUUUCCUUGAUCGUCCUCCCCUUUUUUUCUCCUCUUCCUUUUCCUUAAGCCUUCGCCUGUCAAUCACGUCGAAACACAGUAUUUGACCGGAGCCAGUAUCUUGAUCUGCCUAAAGACAAGACAUUCAAUCGUGAACAGUCGAAUAUUAUUCCUUCCUCAAUUAUACAAAGAAGAGUAAGUUAACAUACCACUUCAGCCUAUUAAUGGUAAUUCAUUCCAUUACAUUAAUGGACAGUUUUGGUGCUGGGGUCCUAGCCUGGGUAACGGACAGCAGCUGCUGUGCUCCAAGAUCAAAAGGUGUUCAGGGCAAACUCUGGUGUUUGAAGGUCAGCAGAGAAAUGACUGGGCUGAUUCAUGAUGCUUACAUCAAGAAAUAUUAGUUGACUGAUGGUCAGGGCACAGAGAUGAAUCAGACCCCACCCAGCCCUGAGUAAGCUCACAGUCUAGGGGCAAGAAUAACACCCAACAGACUUAAUAUUGGAGGUAUAUUGGUCGGGCGCGGUGGCUCACGCCUGUAAUCCCAGCACUUUGGGAGGCCGAGGGGGGCAGAUCACCUGAGGUCCGGAGUUGGAAAACAGCCUGACCAACAUGGCGAAACUUCGUCCCUACUAAAAGUACAAAAAAUUAGCCAGGUCUGGUGGCUUGCACCUGUAAUCCCAGCUACUCGGGAGGCUGAGGCAGGCAGGAGAAUCAUUUGAACCUGGGAGGCGGAGGUUGUAGUAAGCGGAGAUCGCACCAUUGCACUCAGGCCUGGGCAGCAAGAGCGAAACCCUGUCUCAAAAAAAAAAAAAAAAUUUGAGCUAUAUGUUGAAGGCGUGAAGGAAAAGGAAAGCUGCCUGCCCACCUAUGUGGCAAACUAGGAUAGGCUGCUAACUGCUUCCUGGAAAAUCAACCCUGAAGAAAUGAGAGUGAGACAGGUUCCAGGAACUAACAGUAGCAACAAACCGAGGCUUCUGCUUCAGUGAAGGCUGUUGAGAGCUGGGGAUGUGGGAAAUGGGUUGCUGUUGCCUGGGGUGGAGGAGACCUGGCUGGAAGGGCAAGGAAAGGAUGAGGGACAAAAGCUGUUCAGAGGUGAAGAUGAUCCCCCUCUCCCCAGCACGGCCUUGGGAUGGUCAUCGCUUGGCACUGCCAUGACAUCAGGAGUGACAGCCCAGGCCUCUAGCGCCAUAGGACACUGGGCAAAGACAGAGCAGUGCAGAAGUUUAGGAGUCAGGAAGAACACAUGUAGACCAGUAAGCUGCCUGUGGCCAUCCCUCCACAACCUCCUCCUGUACAGCAGGGAGUUGUGCGGCCCUGUGCUGUACAGAGUAUCCCAGGCUGAGGGGCCAAUGGGACAGACACCCUGCAGGGCCUCUCCUCCCUGUGUGAGUGCCCUGGCCGUCUGUGCUCCAGCCUGGGUGCCUUUUUGUAAUUUGGCCAGAGGCAGCUACCUCAGCCCGGUGCGGGGACUCAACGCCUGUAAUCCCAGCACUUUGGGAGGCCGAGGCGGGCAGAUGACUUGAGGCCAGGAGUUCGAGACCAGCCUGGCCAACAUGGCAAAACCCCGUCUCUACUAAAAAUACAAAAAAAAAAAAAAAAAUUAGCUGGGUGCAGUGGCGGGCACCUGUAAUCCCAGCUACUUAGGAGGCUGAGGCAUGAGAAUCGCUUGAAUCCAGGAGGCAGAGGUUGCAGUGAGCUAAGGUUGCGCCAUGGCACUCCAGCCUGGGCAACAGAGCAAGACUGUCUCAAAAAAAAAAAAAAAAAAACUCAAACAAAACAAAACAAAAAACAGAGGGAGCAAUUCCCUUGUGACUGGCACGACUGUAUGGAGGAGGGGAGGUCUUGUUGCACAAAAUCUUGGUAGCAUAAAGCAACAGUUUUACUGUAUCUCAUGAUUCUGAUGUUCACCCUUGGGGCCUCAUGCCUAUACCAAAGGUGGCAGCUGGGUGUUGAAUGUCUGGCACCUCGCUGCCCCCUAACGAGGCCUCCCCCGCAGUGUCUCAUCCUUCAGCCUUUGUGUGUGGCCCCUUUCCCCAGCAGGAGGUGAUCCUGCACUUCCUACAUGACAACCAGGGGCUCCAAGAGGAAAGCGAAGCUGCCAGGCCUUCUGAAGAAGGCCACUUCCUCAAUAUUCUAUGAAUUAAAGCAGGCACAAGCCCAAGCCAGAUUCAAGAGGAGAGGACAUAAGCUGUGGAGGAGCUGCGCGUGCAUGCAGGGCGGGGUGGACUAAUUGGAGCCCUCUGGGGAGACUUGCUGCCACCAGGAGGGUACGAUAGUGGCUCUGCUGUGCAUGCCCUUUUCUUUCUGCAUAUCCGAGGAGAACCCCGCAAAAUACCUACUCACCCUUUCAGGCCAGAUCAAAGUGCCCCUCAUGUUAGGCCAGACCUCCCAUUGCAAGUUAUAAAACUCACAACUCAAUAUUUCUUUGCAAGAAGGAGGGAAUUGAAUUGAAAGAGGGAAUGCUGAACCAUUCAGGCAUUGUAAGGUGGCAUCAAGAAUCGAUCUCACCUCCCACCCUCCAUCCUGUUCUCUCUGCAGGCCUCACAAGCGGGAAAGAUGCCACCAACACCUGCAGGCUUAGAUUCUACCAGCUUCUCCGCUUAGAGAAGGUGCUUCUUUCCUAAUGAUUCCAGCCAAAGACCCAGGGCAGGCUCUCACUGGCCUGGCCUGGGCCUUGUUUCUACUGCAGUCAGGCAGUACCAAAGCAGGACCAGUCUGGGAUUGAUACGUGCUAAGCGAGGACAGCAUGAAUUGGUGGCAGCCAGUGCCAUCUUCCCCACCACAUGGAGAGAUGAGACACUGGUGAAGAUGUGGAGUCUCAGAGCAAGGGCCUGACAACUUGUUUCAGUAGUUUUUUCCUUUAGCUCGUGACCUAUACCAGAACCUAUUCCAGGUAUACAAACCAAUACUUUUUUUUUUUCGCUUAAGUUUGAGUUUGGCUUCUGUAGCUUACAACCAAAAUAAUUCUAAUUUGACCAGUAAAUGCGUUGCACAGAGGGAUGCGUCACCAGAAUAGGGUCAUCAUCCGAUGUGCACAGCAAGUCAAUGCGCCAAGACACCAGGCUGCAGCAGAGGAGGUUUGAAUCCUAGGGCCACUGGAUGUGGAGACAAGAAGAAACCAAAUCUGCCUCCCUGAUGAGUUUGGGGCUAGGAUUUUCAAGGGUUUUGGAGUGGGCUGAAGAAUGGAGAUUGCUGGUUUGUCAAGGAGAGCAGGAUGAAGCCGUGCUGAUUCUCAUGCUGAUUGGUUCCUUUGGGCAAGGGUUGGGGGUCUUCAAACUGGUUGGCAUCACCUGUUCGACUGGAGUUCAGGAUCUGCUUGAGCACUUCUUUCAUAUUUAUUUACUUAUUUUUGUUUUUUUAUUUUUUUCCCUGAGACAGAGUCUUGCUCUGUUGCCCAGGCUGGAGCACAGUGGCACAAUCUCGGCUUGUUGCAAGCUCCACCUCCCAGAUUCAAGCAAUUCUCCUGCCUCAGUUUCCCGAGUAGCUGGGAUUACAGAGGCACACCACCACACCCAGCUAAUUUUUGUAUUUUUAGUAGAGACGGGGUUUCACCACGUUGGCCAGGCUGGUCUUGAACUCCUGACCUCGUGAUUUACCCGCCUCGGCCUCCCAAAAUGCUGGGAUUACAGGUGUGAGCCACUGUACCCGGCCUAUAUUUAUUUAUGUUACUGUAUUUUUGAGACAGGUUCUCACUCUGUCACCCAGGCUGGAGUGCAGUGGCAUGAUCACGGCUCACUGCAGUCUCAACCUCCUUGGGCUCAGGUGAUCCUCCCACCUCAGCCUCCGGAGAGGCUGGGACUGCAGGCAUACACCACACCCCGUUAAUUGUUGUUGUUGACAUGGGGUUUCACCUUGUUGCCCAGGCUGGUCUCCAGCUCCUGCCCUCAAGCAAUCUGCCCGCCUCGGCCUCCCAAAGUGCUAGUAUUACAGGCGUGAGCCACUGUGCCAGGCUGCUUAAGUGAUUUUUAAACAAAAGCCUUAGGACCCUAACAUCAGAAAUCCCAUCUGUAGUAACAGCGGGGGUGCAUAAUGGUCAGUGUCCGGAGCUACAUGACUUUCUGUUACAAGGAAGUGGGCCUAAGUGCCGCCUGAUUAAUGCUUAAUUAUAACUAUAUUUCUGUCCGGGAUUCCUGUUAACUCUGAGAGGGUGGCCUCAGAUGGGUGGUUCAGUAAUGAAAAUGGACACCUAGGUGAUGGCCAUGAUUGUUGAUGUUGCCGUGGUGUCUGUCACUCAAACAUGACUGGGGCAUUGGAAUUCCAACCUGGGACUGAUGGAGAAUGUUGCUGUGGUUUGAAUAUUUGUCUCCUCCAGCACUCAUGAAGACAGAAUUAACAAUCAAAAGAGAAACAAAGCAGACAAAUUUGCAAAACUCAGCCUGGCCAUGUAGAAUGAAAAAGUGUGUUCAAAAGCAGAAACCAAGGGUGGCCCAGUGGUCUUUCACCAAGAUUAGUACAGAGAAAAAGGAUCAUCAAAGAGCAUGGAGCUGGUCACUCACGGUGGCUCACACCUGUAAUCCCAGCACUUUGGGAGGACGAGGCGGGGUGGAUCACCUGAGAUCAGGAGUUCGCGACCAGCCUGGCCAACAUGCUGAAACCAACCCCGUCUCUACUAAAAAUACAAAAAAUUAGCCGGGCGUGUUGGCAGUCGCCUGUAAUCCCAGCUACUUGGGAGGCUGAGGCAGGAGAAUUGCUUGAACCUGGGAGGUGGAGGUUGCAGCGAGCCGAGAUCAUGCCGUUGUACUCCAGCCUGGGCAACAAGAGCAAAACUCCACCUCAAAAAAAAAAAAAAAAAAAUAGAAGAAAGACCUCUAGGGCAUUUUGGAGGUCUUUGAGGCUACACUUGCUGUCACAGGCUCUGAGGCCUAGAGGGCCUAGAGGGCAGAAUGGUUUCAAGGGAUGGCCCAGUAUUGAGAGGUGGGGUCUUUAAGAGGUGAUUGGGCCAUGAGGACUCUCCCAGGCUGGCAGAUCGCUUGAGCUCAGGAGGUUGAGACCAGCCUGAGCAACAUAGCAAAACCCCAUCUCUACAAAAAAUACAAAAAAUGAGCGGGUUUUGGUAGAUAUUGCCAAAUGGCUCUUUGAAAAGUCUGUACCAGUUUAUAUUUCCACCAACAGUGUAUAAAAGUCUGUUUCCUUUUUUCAAGUCAACUAAAACUCUGUCUCCGACUCUGUUUCUCUCUGUCUCUUACACAUACAUGAAUAAGAGUCUAAGGGAAAUAAGUAUUUGAAUUUCACAGUAUGUAUAUAUGAAGGUAAAUAAUUCCUCAAAGUUUCUCUGACAAUGUUCUCAAGGUUAGGUUACCCUAUUUUCUUUAACUGAGGUAAAAUUCAGCCCACAUGAAUGAAUGAAUUCAUUCAUGGAUUAAUUAAUGGGUUAUCAUGGGAGAGGAACUGGUGGCUUUGUAGGAAGAGGAAGACAGACCUGAGCUAGCACCUUCGCACACCCAUCCCUGUUGCCAUCUGAUGCCUUGUGCUGCUUUGGGACUGCAGGGAGUCCCCACCAGCAGGAAGUCCCCACCAGAUGUGGCCCCUUGACUUUGGACUUCUCAGCCUGCAGAACUGUAAGAAAUAAAUUCCUUUUCCAUAUAAAUUACCCAGUUUAAGAUACUCUGUUAUAGGCAAAAGAAAACGAAUGAAGACAAAUGUGGACCAUUACUGUAUGGGUCCAGCAGCUGGAUUUGCCAGGGGCCCCAGAGAUAUGCAGUGUCGAUUACAGACUGACCACAAGAACCAAAAUGCGCAGGAGAAUGAUGAAUGAAGCAGGUCCCAAGGUUUAUUUGCAAGAAAAAUUUGAACAGCCGUGUGACAAACCCGCUUCUAGUAGGAAAGCACAUUCUAGAGGGAAGCAAAGCCAUUCGGAGGUUGUUUGGUGAGUCUGAAAUACAGACCUGUGGAGCCAUUCAGCUCUUAACAGUCUGACACCUCCUCUCUAGGGCUGCAGGCUUAGUGGCCAAAGACCAGCGCUGGUGACAAAAAUUUCCCACUGCCAUGCAGUGCCAGAGACAUGGACACACCCUGGACAUCUGUCUCCCUUUCUCUGGACUUGAGGCUUGCAGGCCACAGUUCUCCUUAGAUAGGGCCUGGUAUCGUAGAUGAAGUUUCAGAUCCCAAUCAUAUCUUACCCCUAUUAUCCUUUGUCCCUGAGCCCAUUGUAUUAGCCUGCAAUUGGCUGAAAACCUAACUCAAACAGCUUUAAGAGGGGGACAAAGGAAUUAGUUGGCUCACGUAGCAUUAAAAGACCAGGAAGAUGGCCAGGCAUGGUGGUUCAAGCCUGUAAUCCCAGCACUUUGGGAGGCCAAGGCAGGCGGAUCAUGAGGUCAGGAGAUGGAGACCAUCCUGGCUAAUACAGUGAAACCCCGUCUCUACUGAAAAUACAAAAAAAAAUAGCUGGGUGUGGUGGCGGGCGCCUGUAGUCCCAGCCACUCGGGAGGCUGAGGCAGGAGAAUGGUGUGAACCCGGGAGGUGGAGCUUGCAGUGAGCUGAGAUCGCACCACUGCACUCCAGCCUGGGCGACAAAGCGAGACUCCAUCUCAAAAAAAAAGAAAGACCAGGAAGAGUCCACUAGCUGCAGGUGUGGCUUGAUCUGGGAGCUAAUGCCACUCGGUUCUGCUCACCUCCAUGGUGACUUUAUCAUCAGGUGCCACAUUCAAGAAAAGGGGAUACCAUCUCCUUCAAGGUUCAAGCCUGGCAGGAAAGAGAAUGUCCCCAAAAUGGUCGAACAGAGGUCCUAGGCCUGACUCAUUUCCAUCUCUGAAUCAAACACCAUGUUCUGGCAUGUGUCAUACACCAGUCAGGAAGAAGUCACAUGCCCUACUUGUGGAGGCAGAUCGUCUUCAGCUGCACUCAAGCAUAUAUGGAAAGAGUUGAUGGGGGCCGGGUGCGGGAGCUCAUGCCUGUAAUCCCAGCACUUUGGGAGGCUGUGGCGGAUGGAUCACUUGGCGCCAGGAGUUCGAGACCAGCCUUGCCCACAUGGUAAAACCCUGUCUCUACUAAAAAUACAAAAAAUUAGCCAGGCAUGGUAGCGCAUGCUUGUAAUCUCAGCUACUUGGGAGGCUGAAGCAGAAGAAUCAUUGAACCUGGGAGGCAGAGGUUGCAGUGAGCCAAGAUCACACCAUUGCACUCCAGCCUGGGCAACAAGAGUGAAACUCUGUCUCAAAAAAAAAAAAAAAAUUAGUGUGGAGUAGUCAGAGGAAAAUCAGGGAUACCGUUGCUGGAAGAAAGAGGAAUAGAAGCAGCAAGGAAGAAAGGCAGAGGCCUGAGGUCCACGUAGAAGCAGCAAGGAAGAAAGAGGCAGAGGCCCGAGGUCCACGUAGAAGCAGCAAGGAAGAAAGAGGCAGAGGCCUGAGGUCCACGUAGAAGCAGCAAGGAAGAAAGGCAGAGGCCCGAGGUCCACGUAGAAGCAGCAAGGAAGAAAGAGGCAGAGGCCCGAGGUCCACGUAGAAGCAGCAAGGAAGAAAGAGGCAGAGGCCCGAGGUCCACGUAGAAGCAGCAAGGAAGAAAGAGGCAGAGGCCCGAGGUCCACGUAGAAGCAGCAAGGAAGAAAGAGGCAGAGGCCCGAGGUCCACGUAGAAGCAGCAAGGAAGAAAGAGGCAGAGGCCCGAGGUCCACGUAGAAGCAGCAAGGAAGAAAGAGGCAGAGGCCCGAGGUCCACGUAGAAGCAGCAAGGAAGAAAGAGGCAGAGGCCCGAGGUCCACGUAGAAGCAGCAAGGAAGAAAGAGGCAGAGGCCCGAGGUCCACGUAGAAGCAGCAAGGAAGAAAG
Molecule: long non-coding RNA, 8188 nt
Filed under: Homo sapiens (human)
Lineage: Eukaryota; Metazoa; Chordata; Mammalia; Primates; Hominidae
Description: non-protein coding lnc-SCGB3A1-3:5
Source: RNAcentral